AGAGUGACUUCCCAAGAAGCAAAGAGAAACUUCAGAUUUAGUCUGGAACACGUGGCCCUGCUGUGCAGAGACUGGUUCUAGUCCCAUUGACCCAGUUCAUCUUCCUCUAGCCUCCUUUUAUAGACACCAAAGCCCCAUUAUCUGAAGACAGCACACUUUCACCUCUGUGUCUUGGACAAGCUGGUUCCCCUGUUUAGAAUGCCCUUCCACACGCCUUUUUUUUUUUUUUUUUGCCUGAUCAUCGCCUGCUCAUCUCCAAAGACUCAGGUCAAAUGCCCCUCCUUUGAAACUUCCUCUCACAGCCCUUCCCACAUUUGAUUCCUCUCUUCUCUCUAAGUCUCAGAGGUGCCAUGUUCACCUUUCUCCUUAGCACCUUCCACCACAUCCUAUAAAUCCUCUAGUCUAGUGGUUUCCAAAAUUGGAUGUUGGAAGAAUAGGAUAGAACUCUCAUCUCAAUUACAUGAAUAUUUUUUAAUGUGCCUAAUAUGUUGUUACAAUAGUAAACAUGUAUAUUUGGUGACUAAUAAAUAUGCCUAUA
RNAcentral lists this long non-coding RNA (538 nucleotides) under Homo sapiens (human). RNAcentral's name for it is "HSALNT0153809". Lineage: Eukaryota; Metazoa; Chordata; Mammalia; Primates; Hominidae. The record is from RNAcentral.